CGUUCAGAUCGCCAGAUGCGACUGUGCGCCUCGCCGGGUGUGUUCUCCACAGCCCCCUUCCUCCCUCGGCCGCCAGGGCUGACAUCACCCGCAGCGUUUUGUGGCUUGGCGAGUCCUGAUCCUGGCUGCGGUGGCAGCUGCAUUGGGCUGGGUCCCUUGGAUGGAAGCGAGGACUGCAGUGCCCAUGGUGCAGUAGGUGGCGCUCUUCUGUCUCAGAGCCUGCUGCUGCUGCUGCUGCAGCCUGUGCUGUGGAGCCUUUUGCCACUAGAGGCUGAUCAACUGACCGAAGAACAGAUUGCUGAAUUCAAGGAAGCUUUCUCCCUAUUUGAUAAGGAUGGUGAUGGCACCAUCACAACAAAGGAACUUGGAACUGUCAUGAGGUCACUGGGUCAGAACCCAACAGAAGCUGAAUUGCAGGAUAUGAUCAACGAAGUGGACGCUGAUGGUAAUGGCACCAUUGACUUCCCAGAAUUUUUGACUAUGAUGGCUAGAAAAAUGAAAGAUACGGAUAAGUGAAGAAGAAAUUCGUGAGGCAUUCCGAGUCUUUGACAAGGAUGGCAAUGGUUACAUCAGUGCGGCAGAACUACGUCACGUCAUGACAAACUUA
This is an RNA transcript of Galeopterus variegatus (Sunda flying lemur), 607 nucleotides long. It is a transcript of the gene named calmodulin-alpha-like, with no coding region annotated. Lineage: Eukaryota; Metazoa; Chordata; Mammalia; Dermoptera; Cynocephalidae. The record is from RefSeq and is a predicted model, not a curated record. The transcript has 4 exons.